This 445-nucleotide ribosomal RNA is filed under the name uncultured bacterium. RNAcentral's name for it is "bacterial SSU rRNA". It matches the Rfam family "Bacterial small subunit ribosomal RNA", at positions 217 to 662 of the family's 1533-position model. The record is from RNAcentral.
GGUAUGGGAUGAGCUUGCGUCCGAUUAGCUAGUUGGCGGGGCAACGGCCCACCAAGGCGACGAUCGGUAGCCGGCCUGAGAGGGUGAUCGGCCACAUUGGGACUGAGAUACGGCCCAGACUCCUACGGGAGGCAGCAGUAGGGAAUAUUGCACAAUGGGGGAAACCCUGAUGCAGCAACGCCACGUGUGGGAAGAAGCAUUUCGGUGUGUAAACCACUGUCGAUAGGGAAUAACGUCGGACUUCGGUCCGUUUGAAUGUACCAUUAGAGGAAGCACCGGCAAACUUCGUGCCAGCAGCCGCGGUAAUACGAGGGGUGCGAGCGUUGUUCGGAAUCACUGGGCGUAAAAGGAGCGUAGGCGGAAGCACAAGCAGUCUGUUCAAUCACGGGGCCCAACCCCGUACCAGCAGACUGGACUGCGUUUCUUGGAUAGUUCAGGGGCAGGC